UUUUCUUCCCUCCAGGUAGGCAAGAAAGGAUGAAGAAUAGAGAACAGAAAGUAAAGCGAGCAUGCAAGUCAGAUGCAUGUUUGUAGGUGGCAGAUGUUCCCCGCCAGAGCUUCGUGGAUUUAACAUCACUCCUUUUGCUUUCAUCACGAAAUUGAGACGAUAGCAAUUUCAUUGCCCCCCAAUCGCAGCGCCUCUCCGGUGUGAAUGUACUACUGCUCUUUCCCUGGGUUUCUAACGCUGCCUGGCUACAUGGCAUCAGCAGAGGUAACUGACUGCAAACUCAGAUGUGGUGCUUUUCUUUUCCGUUUGCCUGGAGUGGUGGACCAGUUUUGAGGAGUGAUAAAUGCGUGCUGGCAGCACCACGUUGUCUCCUGGCUCCGGGGCGACUGGGCUCCAGGAAGCACAGGCAUCUCCGAGGCUGAAGGAGCUCGUGGGCACUGACAGGCUUCCUGCUGGAGAGGCAGCCGAGUGGAGGGUUGCUAAGGACGCAGUUCGGGGCUGCCCAGACGCUGCAGCUUUGAAGAGACACUUCCGCCUCAAUCACAUGUCUCAUUUGUCACCAUUUUCCUUGGCUCCUAAACUAUCCCCUAGAGUACAACUACCACGCGAUACUCUCAUCACAACAGAAAGACUGUGAAGUAGUAAGUCUGAGUCAUACUCAUGACCUAGUUCCAAGUUCUAAAAAAGUUACCAGGUGAACUAUAACAUCAAGACAUCCUACAUCUUAAGCCCUGCCAUUGAAUGUUUGUCCCACAAGGUUUCCCUCUGCACUCACUGUGCUGUUGGUUUGUGGAUGAAUUCCGACGAGCUGGGUUGGAAUCCUCACGCACCACUUAUUAGGUCACUUGUGUGACCUUGGAGAUGCAGGACCUGCCUCUGGCUACACACGGAUGGAGAGUCUCCCACAGGCCACAGGUCCCACCAAGAUAAAAGACUGGCUCUGGAGGACAUGCUACGCAGGACAGAUGACAAUGAUGACAAUGGCCAGAGCCAAAGGGAAGCCUGCCAUCGGAUUGCAUAAGGAUGGUGCUGGGUGCCCUGAACGCUGGUGCGCUGGCCCUGCUCUGAUGCUCAGGGGGUACCUUACUCACUAGCUGUUCAGAGAAUGACCUUGCAGAAUGCUUCUACCACUGUUGGCCUUUCAUUCAGAGACCUCAUUGAUCUCUAAUCCUUCCCCCAUGGCCUGUGCAGCUGGGACCCUCUCUUCUUUCAGGAAGAAGCUCACCCUCCAGGUAGGUCCACCCGAAUACCUGCUCUAAGCUGACCUCCAUCCCACCCUAUCCCAUUCCUCUUCUAGUAAUUGUAUUGGUCACUUUUUAAAUUAACUUUGUAUAUUUAACUUUUUUUAUUGGCUUAAUGAUCAUCUCUCCCCAUGAAGGGAAAGACCUCUUUUGCCUUCUUCACUUCCGUAUCCCCCUGCCUUAAACCAUGCUCAGCAUCUAUCUGUUGAAAAAAGGAAGGGCCCUUUCUCUCCCUCAAACACUGGAGUAUAUUGUAUGUCAUAUACUGUUUACACGUUUUCUCUCGUCUAUGCUACUAGCUUCUUGAAGGUGGGGAAUGAUUCAUUCUUAUCCUUCACAAUGCCUGGGAGAGACCUCAGUUUCAAUAAGUCUUCAUUGAAUGCAGAUAUAAAAAUAAAUGGUGCAGAGGCAGAGAGCAUUUCUUUUCUCUUUCAGAACAACUGGACACAGCAUUAAGCCUGAGAGAGAUCAAAACUAAUUGCCGGAACGAGAAUCACAGGCAUUCACUGCGUCUGUACCAAGGACGGACUUGGAAAAGGGUGUAAUCAACUAGCAGCACACGGUAUCCAGUGUGACCUCUGUGCUCUUCACAGUGCCGUUCUCUUCGGGGAACUGGCUGCCUUUGUGGCCUGUGGGAUGAAAAGCUUCCCAAAAUAGAGGCCAGGAAUGAGGUCUGGUUCUGAUGGGAGGGACCAGAGCUGGAGGGCACCUUCCUAUGAGCACGGGGCAUCUGUGUUAUUCUUUCAGCAAAGCAUUUUGAUUUUCCUCAUCAAUAAAAAGCACUUUGAUUUUCCUUAUCAAUAAAAAUGGAGGUGCCCAUAAAACAUUUUGGGUAUCUGGGGGAUGUGAAAAGGUCAAGUGAGGUAUUAAUCCAGAGAGUGAGAGGUUUGGGGCAGAAAUGGGACCAUUAAGUCAAAAUGGUGUGCAUUAAAAAAUGGUAGAGUGAUCUGUUCUGGUUGUCCUGGGUAAGAACACUAGGCCUGUGACCAGCUCAGCUGGGUUGAGAUGAGGCUGCAUAAACUCUAGGAUAAGAGACUGGAGCUGUAUUCCAUUGUGUAGAU
Myotis brandtii (Brandt's bat) is the source of this 2302-nucleotide long non-coding RNA. RefSeq lists it as uncharacterized. The record is from RefSeq and is a predicted model, not a curated record. The transcript is spliced from 4 exons. Lineage: Eukaryota; Metazoa; Chordata; Mammalia; Chiroptera; Vespertilionidae.